RNAcentral lists this ribosomal RNA (253 nucleotides) under uncultured bacterium. RNAcentral's name for it is "partial 16S ribosomal RNA". It matches the Rfam family "Bacterial small subunit ribosomal RNA", at positions 524 to 776 of the family's 1533-position model. The record is from RNAcentral.
UACGUAGGGUGCGAGCGUUAAUCGGAAUUACUGGGCGUAAAGCGUGCGCAGGCGGUCUCGUAAGACAGGUGUGAAAUCCCCGGGCUCAACCUGGGAACUGCGCUUGUGACUGCGAGGCUAGAGUGCGGAAGAGGGAGGUGGAAUUCCACGUGUAGCAGUGAAAUGCGUAGAGAUGUGGAGGAACACCGAUGGCGAAGGCAGCCUCCUGGGCCAGCACUGACGCUCAUGCACGAAAGCGUGGGGAGCAAACAGG